This 530-nucleotide ribosomal RNA is filed under the name uncultured bacterium. RNAcentral's name for it is "bacterial SSU rRNA". It matches the Rfam family "Bacterial small subunit ribosomal RNA", at positions 355 to 896 of the family's 1533-position model. The record is from RNAcentral.
UGGGGAAUAUUGCACAAUGGGCGGAAGCCUGAUGCAGCGACGCCGCGUGGGGGAUGAAGGCCUUCGGGUUGUAAACUCCUUUCGACAGGGACGAAGCGUAAGUGACGGUACCUGUAUAAGAAGCACCGGCUAACUAUGUGCCAGCAGCCGCGGUAAUACGUAGGGUGCGAGCGUUGUCCGGAAUUACUGGGCGUAAAGAGCUCGUAGGUGGUUUGUCGCGUCGUCUGUGAAAUUCCGGGGCUUAACUCCGGGCGUGCAGGCGAUACGGGCUGACUUGAGUGCUGUAGGGGAGACUGGAAUUCCUGGUGUAGCGGUGAAAUGCGCAGAUAUCAGGAGGAACACCGAUGGCGAAGGCAGGUCUCUGGGCAGUAACUGACGCUGAGGAGCGAAAGCAUGGGUAGCGAACAGGAUUAGAUACCCUGGUAGUCCAUGCCGUAAACGGUGGGCGCUAGGUGUAGGGGGCUUCCACGUCUUCUGUGCCGUAGCUAACGCAUUAAGCGCCCCGCCUGGGGAGUACGGCCGCAAGGCUA